CUGCUGCCUCCCGUAGGAGUUUGGACCGUGUCUCAGUUCCAAUGUGGGGGACCUUCCUCUCAGAACCCCUACGCAUCGUCGGCUUGGUGGGCCGUUGCCCCACCGACUACCUAAUGCGCCGCAUGCCCAUCCAUGACCGGGGUCGCCCCCUUUGACCGGCAGGGGAUGUCCCCUCCCGGCAUUAUGUUGUAUUAGGCGGGAUUUCUCCCGGUUAUCCAUCUGUCACGGCCAGGUUGCAUACGUGUUACUCACCCGUGCGCCGGUCGCCGG
Molecule: ribosomal RNA, 270 nt
Filed under: uncultured bacterium
Lineage: Bacteria
Description: partial 16S ribosomal RNA
Source: RNAcentral